RNAcentral lists this ribosomal RNA (844 nucleotides) under uncultured bacterium. RNAcentral's name for it is "bacterial SSU rRNA". It matches the Rfam family "Bacterial small subunit ribosomal RNA", at positions 547 to 1399 of the family's 1533-position model. The record is from RNAcentral.
GAAUUACUGGGGCGUCAAGCGUCCCGCAGGCGUCUUUGUAAGUCUGGUGUAAAAGCACGGAGCUCAACUCCGUGUACGUACUGGAUACUACAAAGAUAGAGUCAUACAGAGGCAUCUGGAAUUCCAUGUGGAGGGGUAAAAUCCGUUGAUCCAUGGAGGAACGCCAAAAGCGAGGGCAGGAUGCUGGGUAUGUACUGACGCUCAGGGACGAAAGCGUGGGGAGCAAAGGGGAUUAGAUACCCCCGUAGUCCACGCCCUAAACUAUGCGUGCUCGGUGUUGGAGUUUUUCAAUUGACUUCAGUGCCUCAGCUAACGCGGUAAGCACGCCGCCUGGGAACUACGGCCGCAAGGCUAAAACUCAAAGGAAUAGACGGGGACCCACACAAGCGGUGGAGCAUGGGGUUUAAUUCGAUGAUAAGCGGAGCACCUCACCCAGGUUUGACAUCCCGAGAAAAUUCUAGAAAUAGAAUUGUGCCGUAAGGAACUCGGUGACAGGUGGUGCACGGUCGUCGUCAGCUCGUGCCUUGAGGUGUACUGUUAAGUCAGCAAACGAGCGCAACCCUCAUCCUAUGUUGCAUUUUUCAUAGGAGACUGCCGCCUCCAAGGCGGAGGAAGGUGAGGAUGACGUCAGAUCUGCGUGUCCCUUAUGCCUGGGGCGACACCCGUGCUACAAUGGCCGAUACAAAGGGCAGCCAACCCGCGAGGGGGAGCCAAUCCCAUCAAAAUCGGUCUCAGUCCGGAUUGCAGUCUGCAACUCGACUGCAUGAAGUUGGAAUCGCUAGUAACCGUGAAUCAGCCAUGUCACGGUGAAUAUGUUCCUGGGUCUUGUACACACCGCCCGUAA